This 976-nucleotide ribosomal RNA is filed under the name Arthrobacter sp. Its description in RNAcentral is "bacterial SSU rRNA". It matches the Rfam family "Bacterial small subunit ribosomal RNA". The record is from RNAcentral. Lineage: Bacteria; Bacillati; Actinomycetota; Actinomycetes; Micrococcales; Micrococcaceae.
UUACUUUUACACGUACGGAUAUUGGGCGUAAGAGCUCGUAGGCGGUUUGUCGCGUCUGCUGUGAAAGACCGGGGCUCAACUCCGGUUCUGCAGUGGGUACGGGCAGACUAGAGUGAUGUAGGGGAGACUGGAAUUCCUGGUGUAGCGGUGAAAUGCGCAGAUAUCAGGAGGAACACCGAUGGCGAAGGCAGGUCUCUGGGCAUUAACUGACGCUGAGGAGCGAAAGCAUGGGGAGCGAACAGGAUUAGAUACCCUGGUAGUCCAUGCCGUAAACGUUGGGCACUAGGUGUGGGGGACAUUCCACGUUUUCCGCGCCGUAGCUAACGCAUUAAGUGCCCCGCCUGGGGAGUACGGCCGCAAGGCUAAAACUCAAAGGAAUUGACGGGGGCCCGCACAAGCGGCGGAGCAUGCGGAUUAAUUCGAUGCAACGCGAAGAACCUUACCAAGGCUUGACAUGAACCGGUAAUACCUGGAGACAGGUGCCCCGCUUGCGGUCGGUUUACAGGUGGUGCAUGGUUGUCGUCAGCUCGUGUCGUGAGAUGUUGGGUUAAGUCCCGCAACGAGCGCAACCCUCGUUCUAUGUUGCCAGCGCGUUAUGGCGGGGACUCAUAGGAGACUGCCGGGGUCAACUCGGAGGAAGGUGGGGACGACGUCAAAUCAUCAUGCCCCUUAUGUCUUGGGCUUCACGCAUGCUACAAUGGCCGGUACAAAGGGUUGCGAUACUGUGAGGUGGAGCUAAUCCCAAAAAGCCGGUCUCAGUUCGGAUUGAGGUCUGCAACUCGACCCCAUGAAGUCGGAGUCGCUAGUAAUCGCAGAUCAGCAACGCUGCGGUGAAUACGUUCCCGGGCCUUGUACACACCGCCCGUCAAGUCACGAAAGUUGGUAACACCCGAAGCCGGUGGCCUAACCCUUGUGGGGGGAGCCGUCGAAAGUGGGACCGGCGAUUGGGACUAAGUCGUACCAAAGGUAACUCACA